This 716-nucleotide ribosomal RNA is filed under the name Pasteurella multocida. Its description in RNAcentral is "bacterial SSU rRNA". It matches the Rfam family "Bacterial small subunit ribosomal RNA", at positions 225 to 935 of the family's 1533-position model. The record is from RNAcentral. Lineage: Bacteria; Pseudomonadati; Pseudomonadota; Gammaproteobacteria; Pasteurellales; Pasteurellaceae.
AUGAGCCCAAGUGGGAUUAGGUAGUUGGUGGGGUAAAGGCCUACCAAGCCUGCGAUCUCUAGCUGGUCUGAGAGGAUGACCAGCCACACUGGAACUGAGACACGGUCCAGACUCCUACGGGAGGCAGCAGUGGGGAAUAUUGCGCAAUGGGGGGAACCCUGACGCAGCCAUGCCGCGUGAAUGAAGAAGGCCUUCGGGUUGUAAAGUUCUUUCGGUAAUGAGGAAGGGAUGUUGUUUAAUAGAUGGCAUCAUUGACGUUAAUUACAGAAGAAGCACCGGCUAACUCCGUGCCAGCAGCCGCGGUAAUACGGAGGGUGCGAGCGUUAAUCGGAAUAACUGGGCGUAAAGGGCACGCAGGCGGACUUUUAAGUGAGAUGUGAAAUCCCCGAGCUUAACUUGGGAACUGCAUUUCAGACUGGGAGUCUAGAGUACUUUAGGGAGGGGUAGAAUUCCACGUGUAGCGGUGAAAUGCGUAGAGAUGUGGAGGAAUACCGAAGGCGAAGGCAGCCCCUUGGGAAUGUACUGACGCUCAUGUGCGAAAGCGUGGGGAGCAAACAGGAUUAGAUACCCUGGUAGUCCACGCUGUAAACGCUGUCGAUUUGGGGAUUGGGCUAUAUGCUUGGUGCCCGAAGCUAACGUGAUAAAUCGACCGCCUGGGGAGUACGGCCGCAAGGUUAAAACUCAAAUGAAUUGACGGGGGCCCGCACAAGCGGUGG